This is a small nucleolar RNA of Rattus norvegicus (Norway rat), 131 nucleotides long. Ensembl annotates it as small nucleolar RNA SNORA17. The record is from Ensembl. Lineage: Eukaryota; Metazoa; Chordata; Mammalia; Rodentia; Muridae.
CCUGCCCCUAGCGUCUUGCAGGUGUGGCUGCUGGGUCACGCAUGCUCCAGUGGGUGGCAGAGAGGAGAGAGGCUAUGUCUACGCCCAAUGUUCUGACCUGUGGCAUCUGAGUGAUUAAGUGGCCUAGCGCU